UGGCAGGUCAGCAUACUGCCGUGAAUACGUUCCCGGGCCUUGUACACACCGCCCGUCACACCAUGAGAGUUGGAAAUACCCGAAGCCUGUGAGCUAACAGUAAUGAGGCAGCAGUCGAAGGUAGAGCCAAUGAUUGGGGUGAAGUCGUAACAAGGUAUC
This 159-nucleotide ribosomal RNA is filed under the name uncultured bacterium. RNAcentral describes it as "partial 16S ribosomal RNA". It matches the Rfam family "Bacterial small subunit ribosomal RNA", at positions 1342 to 1500 of the family's 1533-position model. The record is from RNAcentral.